GCGGGCGUCGCCAAGUGGUAAGGCAAUGGAUUGUGACUCCAUUAUUCGCGGGUUCGAUCCCCGUCGUUCGCC
This 72-nucleotide transfer RNA is filed under the name Prasinoderma coloniale. RNAcentral's name for it is "tRNA-His". It matches the Rfam family "tRNA". Rfam says of the family: Transfer RNA (tRNA) molecules are approximately 80 nucleotides in length. Their secondary structure includes four short double-helical elements and three loops (D, anti-codon, and T loops). The record is from RNAcentral. Lineage: Eukaryota; Viridiplantae; Prasinodermophyta; Prasinodermophyceae; Prasinodermales; Prasinodermaceae.